RNAcentral lists this ribosomal RNA (253 nucleotides) under uncultured bacterium. Its description in RNAcentral is "partial 16S ribosomal RNA". It matches the Rfam family "Bacterial small subunit ribosomal RNA", at positions 524 to 776 of the family's 1533-position model. The record is from RNAcentral.
UACGGCGGGGGCAAACGGUGCUCGGAAUCAUUGGGCGUAAAGCGCACGUAGGCGGCCCGGUAAGUCUGAUGUGAAAGCCCUCGGCUCAACUGAGGAAGUGCAUUCGAAACUGCUGGACUUGAGUACGGGAGAGGGAUGCGGAAUUCACGGUGUAGAAGUGAAAUUCGUAGAUAUCGGGAGGAACACCAGUGGCGACGGCGGCACCCUGGAGCGAUACUGACGCUGAGGUGCGAAAGCGUGGGGAGCAAACAAG